RNAcentral lists this ribosomal RNA (327 nucleotides) under Mysmena sp. MYSM-037-THAI. RNAcentral describes it as "bacterial SSU rRNA". It matches the Rfam family "Eukaryotic small subunit ribosomal RNA", at positions 1481 to 1804 of the family's 1831-position model. The record is from RNAcentral. Lineage: Eukaryota; Metazoa; Arthropoda; Arachnida; Araneae; Mysmenidae.
CCGGGGCCGCACGCGCGCCACAUUGAAGGAAUCAGCGUGUGCUUUCCCGGUCCGACAGGAUUGGGUAACCCGUUGAACCUCCUUCGUGCUGGGGAUAGAACCUUGUAACUUAGUUCUUGAACGAGGAAUUCCCAGUAAGCACGAGUCAUCAGCUCGUGUUGAUUACGUCCCUGCCCUUUGCACACACCGCCCGUCGCUACUACCGAUUGAAUGAUUAAGUGAGGCCUUCGGACUGGCGCUCGGACUGGCCUUCGGGUCGAGCCGAAGUGCCGGAAAGAUGGCCAAACUUGAUCACUUAGAGAUAGUAAAAGUCGUAACAAGGUUUCC